CCUACGGGGUGCAGCAGUGGGGAAUAUUGCACAAUGGGCGCAAGCCUGAUGCAGCCAUGCCGCGUGUAUGAAGAAGGCCUUAGGGUUGUAAAGUACUUUCAGUCGGGAGGAAGGCGUUGAUGCUAAUAUCAUCAGCGAUUGACGUUACCAACAGAAGAAGCACCGGCUAACUCCGUGCCAGCAGCCGCGGUAAUACGGAGGGUGCAAGCGUUAAUCGGAAUUACUGGGCGUAAAGCGCACGCAGGCGGUUGAUUAAGUUAGAUGUGAAAUCCCCGGGCUUAACCUGGGAAUGGCAUCUAAGACUGGUCAGCUAGAGUCUUGUAGAGGGGGGUAGAAUUCCAUGUGUAGCGGUGAAAUGCGUAGAGAUGUGGAGGAAUACCGGUGGCGAAGGCAGCCCCCUGGACAAAGACUGACGCUCAGGUGCGAAAGCGUGGGGAGCAAACAGGAUUAGAUACCCGCGUAGUC
This 465-nucleotide ribosomal RNA is filed under the name uncultured bacterium. Its description in RNAcentral is "bacterial SSU rRNA". It matches the Rfam family "Bacterial small subunit ribosomal RNA", at positions 338 to 795 of the family's 1533-position model. The record is from RNAcentral.